AUGACGUAUGUUUAUGAUACGUUUUCAUAGUCGUACUUGCAAAGGUUCCAUCCAAUCAGACUCGAAUUCUACGGACCAAUUUAGCGUGACCAAAACUUAACGUGGGUGUAUGUAAAAGCGAACCUGGAGCCUACACACAGUUGUCGGCUUUCUAAUGGACUUGCGAAUACAAGGACUAUGUUAUUCGGAUACGUGAAAGCCAUUGAUCGAAAACAUUGAUAGGCUGUCGGAUGCAGGGCAAUUCGUAACCAACAACGGUAUACUCGUGUAUACGUAACUGUGGUAUUCCCACGAAAAAAACGAAGCCGACGAUAUUUCUUCGUUAUGUGGUGCAGGUCUAAUGACUCAACUUCCAAAUCUUUUUCGGAUGGAAACACCGGCUCGGCAACCAGAUACUGACGCCACAGCAGCAAUACAUAUGGCACGUUUAUCCGCUUUCUGGAACGGGGCUGUCCUGGACUAGCGCAAGUUCUAACAGCCAGGAUGAAGAGACUAUCAGCCCAAGCUAUCGGAUACCUGCGGUAAUGGCCCUACCAGUUACUUCCAACGGGAGUCGAAAUUUCCGUUUACACAACAUUCAACAUCGAAAUUCAUAUCAACGUCGCAGAUCUUGGCAGGGCAGUCUUAGCAGAACUCCUUUGCGUUCCCAGGCUUCUUAUGCUCGUCAAUUGUGCGAAUCAAGCGGCCUUCGGUGGAACCCGCAAUCACACCUCGCUUCAAGUAUAGGCUCAGCACAGAGGCGCUACUACCGGCGCUAUUUGAUAGAAUAGGCCAAGUUUACUGAGUAACAAUAAACGAAGA
Non-coding RNA from Varroa destructor (honeybee mite), 801 nucleotides. The record is from RefSeq and is a predicted model, not a curated record. NCBI's taxonomy places the organism in Eukaryota, Metazoa, Arthropoda, Arachnida, Mesostigmata, Varroidae.